This is a long non-coding RNA of Mastomys coucha (southern multimammate mouse), 452 nucleotides long. RefSeq lists it as uncharacterized. The record is from RefSeq and is a predicted model, not a curated record. The transcript is spliced from 2 exons. NCBI's taxonomy places the organism in Eukaryota, Metazoa, Chordata, Mammalia, Rodentia, Muridae.
ACAGCUGCCGAACUGCGCAUGCUCAGGAAAUUGUGCCAACACCAGUGUGUGCAGUGACUCCAGUGGAGGCAGUCGGUGUCUGCUCCCGUUUCUACCUCUCAUUUAGGAAGUUCCCAAGUGCUUUGGCUGAUUUGAUUGUUUGACACAAGCUUUUGUACAGCCAAAGGAAUUUAUAUAAACUGAUUACACUGAGCGAUAUUCCCAGGCACGGCUGAGUCUCCUGCAGAUUAAUAGCUCAUCCUGGAGGAAGAAUUUGUGCUGGAAUCAAAGAGAACGCUGAUGUGCCGAACCCUGUGCAUUACGAAUCUGCUUUAAAACUGGAGAGAGUGGACGUGGGGACAGCUGUCCUACGGAUACAGUUGUUUCAGGGUUUGUAUUCACAGGACUGAUUUUUCUGAUGUUCCGUGGAGCUUGAGAUGAUGCACAGUAAAGGAAGGAAUUCUUGGCUUACA